Molecule: long non-coding RNA, 2413 nt
Organism: Hordeum vulgare subsp. vulgare (domesticated barley)
Lineage: Eukaryota; Viridiplantae; Streptophyta; Magnoliopsida; Poales; Poaceae
Exons: 2
Source: RefSeq, a predicted model, not a curated record
CAUUUUGCUCCGUAUGUAGACCUUUAGUGAAAUUGCUUAAAAGACUUAUAUUUAGGAACGGAGGGAGUAUUUACCAUGUUCAUGUAGAGAUUCUAGAUUAGUUGACUGACACUUAGGGAUAGCUUUAAGUCCAAAUAUUUUCUGGAAGAUGUACAUUGAGGUGAUACAUGACGCAAUAUGCUUGGCUAAUGACUUGUUUGCUGGAUGCUGUUGUGACUUUCCAAUGUAUUGCUUGAACAUCUUUUCUUUCUGCUUACAAGUGAAAGGUAACAACUAACAACAGAAAGUGUACAAGUACUAUUCUUGAUUGAGAAAACAUUUUUAGGAAAACGCGGAAAACAUCUACUGGCAAAUAACAAGCGAGAUCUUUCCUUUAUACUCCCUCCCUACGAAAUUACUUGUCGCAGAAAUGGAUAAAAAUGGAUGUAUCUAGAACUAAAAUAUGUCUAGAUACAUCGAUUUCUCCAACAAGUAUUUCGGACGGAGGGAGUAGUUUUUAAGCUUGAACAGUUUAAAUGUUUGGUGUCAAAAAGGUUAGGGGAAAUAAAUACAUUUCUUGAUCAUAUUACGUUGGUAUGUGCAGAAUAAAUAAAUUGCUGAUGAUAUGAUAGCAGUUAGUGCCUUCUAAGGUGUAGUUUUGGUGUGUGGCACAGUGUUGUUGAUUGGGGUAAGGCAAACCCCUCAUAUCUGACAAAAGAUAUAUAAAGAUCUGAGUUGUUGGCGGCCCAUUCACCCUCAUAGAUUACCUCUUAAGUCGGCAAGAAAUUAGUUACUGCAAUUAUCAUACAUUCUAUGUAGCAGACAUAUGUAUGGCGUUCUCAUAUUUUGUUGAUUUGUUUGAUGCAUCCUUAUUUAUUCUUACUUGCACAAAGUUAGAGACUAUGAUGACACAAACGUUUAACCAACUCAUGCAAUAAAAGAAAUUUCUUAGCAAUGCACUAACAUAUAUUCUCUGUAGCAUUGCACGAGUAUUUAUCUAGUCUAACAAAACAUUGCUAUUAUGCUUCUUAGCAGAAGUUAACAAAUAACCAAGCAGGUGAAAUUAGUCUGGUGAAUUAGUUUCUCUGAAAGGUACCAUCUUAGACAUGCAUGAAUUACGAUAGCUUUGUUCUAUAGUUAGUUACUUACUUUCCGCAUAUAAAAUUUACUAAGAUUAUGUGCUCUAGGAUAGGUAAGAUCGGCUAAAUGGACCGCGAAUUUGGUUGGCGGCUAGAUCACAGUACUAUCUCACCAUAGGUUUUGCUCCUAAUCUUCUCAUUGAUGCUUCAGUAUGCUGCAAGUUAUCUUUGAGGAGUUGCUAUGAAACACUAUACUAUUGAUUUCACAAGCUGAUACUGACAGGGUCCUUACAAUAUAUUUUCGCGCCCAUAAUAGUAAAUUUAACAAUUUCAGUCAUAUAAUUCAAGAUAUUAUUAUCCUCUAUUUUGUUGUAUGUGUAUAAUUGGACUGCUAGUUACAUGCGGUUGAUGCAGCAUUCAUUUAUUCACUGAGAAAUGCUAUAUGGGUUAUGUGGUAGAGGCGUAAAGUUGCAAAAUCGAUCACAAGACAUCUACGUUUGAGAAGUGAAUCACAUAGUUGGCAGGAAAGCAGGAUCUCCUUUUCAGGUUGUUCAUGCAGCACAAGCAAUCUCACAUUGCUCAUCCCCUGAAACCCAAGCAGAUGCACAUGGAAAUGAUGGCUAGGAAGCAGAAGCAUACAUCACCCAGCCUUCAAGAUCCCAGGGCCAAGGAACUAAUAUAGAUCGAAAGAAGUCCACAUAACCCACUGGAGUUUCAGAACCAGGGUGGUUUAGCCUACGUGGCUCUGGUCGAUUGCCAGGUGGGCUUGGUGGCAGGCGCGAUGCGAUAUGAAGAUGGCGCCGGAAGUUUCACCUAAUCCCUAGUUUCUCCUCCCUUGUUCGUCGCCAUGCCCGCCAGCUGAAGCUCGUCCUCCCCUGUUCCCCCCCAAUCUCCAUUAUUGUAGGAUCAGGAAGCGCCCCGGACAGGCGAGGAGUCCAGGACGGCCCUCGCCAUGGUUCAAAGGAGCAGCGUAAGUUCGUCUUGGGGUCCCUGUUAGACAGAAAUAUCAGAAGCAUUUUCAGAUACCCAUGAAGGUUAAUUUUCCAUGCUGUAGCGGAGCAGCUUAAGUAGGAGCUUGAUGUGCUGGUUGUUUUGAGUUGUAUUUCAGCCGGGGAAACAUGUGGUAGCUGGAGUCUUGCAGUGUAGUUUUUGUAUUGUAGUUGUGCCUGUGCUAGCGCCUUUCUGUAAUAGCUGGAGUUGGCUCGUUUAUGUCUUUUGUUUUUUUCUCGUUUAUGCUGGUGAUGCACUGUAAUUUGCUGAAGGAUACUGUUUAUCAGUUUUCACAAUGAAUGGAAGUUGGGACAGUGCUCCUUAAUUUGAAAAAAGGAUAUCCAUGAAGUAUAGUUGAAAACAUG